UCUACAGAUUUGCACUGGCGCUGGCCUCUGUGGAGUGCGUUCCUGGGGCGCUGCUCCAUUCUGCGGAGCCCCAUCACAGCCUUGCCUGAGGUUUGACGGUCCGCCGGCCACGUCGGCUGUGUACUUCUGACACAGCAAGAUGUGCUGUCAGCCUCUGGGUGAAACUGUUAGAGCUUAGAGUGCUAAUCCUGCCACUCAGUCGGAGGGAAAUGCCCUUUCACUCGCGAGGAAGCAGCUAUCGGAUUGAGUCUACGAGUCAGGAUGGGAGAAGUUUGCUGUGGGUUUUCGGCGACCCCCCAGGUGGAGUCAUUUCCGUCUCUGGUUGUAUUUGCGGCGUGGUGGAAUGGAGACACGCCCGACAGGACAUCGCAUAGAUGCUGGUAAACCCUCUCAGUGAGAGGAAAGUCAGAGAACUUCGGGGCACGCUUCGCAGCUUCACGGUGCACUGACGUCACAUGACGUGAUGCUAGCCGUUCUAGCCUCCGGAAGUCAGAGUGAUACGAGAUGAAGAAGUAUCUUUUUAGAAGUUUAAAGAGGACAAUUAGAAUUGCUGAAACAGCGCUGUUGGUGUCAUGGCCUGGAUGCUCACCUCCGUGUAUGAAGACUGACGCACAUAUUCUGUGAAGCUCCGUUUUGGCCAGAGUGCCCCUCCCCUUUUGACUUUGUGUGAUACAGUCUACUGUUCUUAAAACAUAACAAGUGUUUAUACACUUGUCAUAAAAAUAUACUACUUUCAUUUUAUCAAGAACAUUUCAGCAUCCCUAGGAACUCAGUGAACGUUUCUGAUUUGCUGGAGAAGCACCACAGACAGUACAAUACGACCUUUCAAGACGGAGACCCGUCGCUGAGUGAGUGGAAAAUAGCAAUAAAUCUGAUAUAACAGUAAAGCUCAUUUUUUUGGUCAUGAGACAUGUAAAACUCUUUGUAGACUUGUCACUAGAGCUGUUUGGUA
Molecule: long non-coding RNA, 952 nt
Organism: Camelus dromedarius (Arabian camel)
Lineage: Eukaryota; Metazoa; Chordata; Mammalia; Artiodactyla; Camelidae
Exons: 3
Source: RefSeq, a predicted model, not a curated record